Molecule: transfer RNA, 87 nt
Filed under: Candidatus Altimarinota bacterium
Lineage: Bacteria; Candidatus Altimarinota
Description: tRNA-Leu
Rfam family: tRNA
About the family: Transfer RNA (tRNA) molecules are approximately 80 nucleotides in length. Their secondary structure includes four short double-helical elements and three loops (D, anti-codon, and T loops). Further hydrogen bonds mediate the characteristic L-shaped molecular structure. tRNAs have two regions of fundamental functional importance: the anti-codon, which is responsible for specific mRNA codon recognition, and the 3' end, to which the tRNAs corresponding amino acid is attached (by aminoacyl-tRNA synthetases). tRNAs cope with the degeneracy of the genetic code in two manners: having more than one tRNA (with a specific anti-codon) for a particular amino acid; and 'wobble' base-pairing, i.e. permitting non-standard base-pairing at the 3rd anti-codon position.
Source: RNAcentral
GCCCAGAUGGUGGAAUUGGUAGACACGUGGGUCUCAAAAACCCAUGAGCUUACGCUUGUGCGGGUUCGAUUCCCGCUCUGGGCACCA